CAUCUUACCUCAGGGGAGGUACCAUGAUCAGGGAGGUGGUUUUCCCAGGGCGAGGCUCAUCCCCUGCACUCCAGGUGUGCUGACCCCUGCGAUUUCCCCAAAUGCGGGAAACUUGACUGCAUAUAUAUAUGUGUGUGUGUAUAUAUAUAUAUAUAUAUU
Small nuclear RNA from Oxyura jamaicensis (ruddy duck), 159 nucleotides. RefSeq annotates it as U1 spliceosomal RNA. The transcript has a single exon. Lineage: Eukaryota; Metazoa; Chordata; Aves; Anseriformes; Anatidae. The record is from RefSeq and is a predicted model, not a curated record.